RNAcentral lists this long non-coding RNA (112 nucleotides) under Vombatus ursinus (common wombat). RNAcentral's name for it is "lncRNA (ENSVURG00010012120.1)". The record is from RNAcentral. Lineage: Eukaryota; Metazoa; Chordata; Mammalia; Diprotodontia; Vombatidae.
GACUCAAGCCUGUCUCUUUCCCCAUGUAGGCCCCCUUCGCAGUGAGAAUGGGAAAAGUGGCCAUUGACAAAGGAAUGGAGGUGGACAUCGCAUCUGGAAUGGCCAUUGAAGG